CCAGGACAAGAGGUGAGGAGCCUCUAACUGCGUGGUCCCGCCCGCGGGUCAACUGGCGGUCAGAUCCUCUUGACGACCUUCUCCAGCGAUACCUCCGUCGUCAUUCUCUCAGGAAAAUGAAACAUGAAGUGCCAACAUUUUGCUUUACAAAGCUUUU
This 157-nucleotide long non-coding RNA is filed under the name Felis catus (domestic cat). Its description in RNAcentral is "lncRNA (ENSFCAG00000052707.1)". Lineage: Eukaryota; Metazoa; Chordata; Mammalia; Carnivora; Felidae. The record is from RNAcentral.